RNAcentral lists this long non-coding RNA (10190 nucleotides) under Triticum aestivum (bread wheat). Its description in RNAcentral is "long non-coding RNA (TAES_LNC008914)". The record is from RNAcentral. Lineage: Eukaryota; Viridiplantae; Streptophyta; Magnoliopsida; Poales; Poaceae.
AAGAAUGGGAUAAAGAGUUGGCUUACAAUUGCCACUUCACACAAUACAUAAAUUAAACAUACAUCAUUCAGAGUACAAUCAAGAUCCGACUAUGGAACCAAAAUAAAAGAAGACAACCCCAAAUGCUAGAUCCCUGAUCGUCCCAACUAGGCUCCACUACUGAUCAACAGGAAACGAAUACUAACGACCAAGGUCCUCGUCGAACUCCCACUUGAGUUCGGUAGCAUCACCUGCACUGGUAUCGUCGGCACCUGCAACUGUUUUGGUAGAAUCUGUGAGUCACGAGGACUCAGCAAUCUCACACCCGCGAGAUCAAGACUAUUUAAGCUUAUAGGAAGGAUGGGGUAAUGAGGUGGAGCUGCAGCAAGCACUAAGCAAAUAUGGUGGCUAACAUACGCAAAUAAGAGCGAGAAGAGGAGCACGCAACGGUCGAGAAGCUAGAAGUGAUCCUGAAACUACUUACGUCCAAACAUAACCCAAAACCGUGUUCACUUCCCGGACUCCGCCGAAAAGAGACCAUCACGUCUACACAUGCGGUUGAUGCAUUUUAAUUAAAUCAAGUGUCAAGUUCUCUACAACCGGACAUUAACAAAUUCCCAUCUGCCACAUAAUCGCGGGCACGACUUUCGAAAGAUAAUACCCCGCAGGGGUGUCCCAACUUAGCCCAUGAUAAGCUCUCACGAUCAACGAAGGAUAUUCCUUCUCCUGGGAAGACCCGAUCAGUCUCGGAAUCCCGGUUACAAGACAUUUCGACAAUGGUAAAACAAGUCCAGCAAAGCCGCCCGAUGUGCCGACGAUCCCGAUAGGAGCUGCACAUAUCUCGUUCUCAGGGAAACACCGGAUGAGCACUACGUACAACUAAAACCAGACCUCAAGUUUCCCCGAGGGGGCGCUGCAAGUGGCUCUAGUUCGGACCAACACUUAGAGAAGCAUUGGCCCGGGGGGGCUAAAUAAAGAUGACCCUCGGGUUGGCCGACCCAAGGGAAGGGUAAUAGGUUGUUAGGCAAAUGUAAAACUAAGGUUGGGCCUUGCUGGAGGAGUUUUAUUCAAAGCAAACUUCAAGGGGUUCCCAUAGCACCCAACCGCGUAAGGAACGCAAAAUCAAGGAACAUAACACCGGUAUGACGGAAAACUAGGACGGCAAGAGUGGAACAAAACACCAGGCAUAAGGCCGAGCCUUCCACCCUUUACCAAGUAUAUAGAUGCAUUAAUUAAAAUAAGAGAUAUUGUGAUAUCCCAACAUAUCCAUGUUCCAACAUGGAACAAACUUCAGCUUCAACUGCAACUAGCAACGCUAUAAGAGGGGCUGAGCAAAAUCGGUAACAUAGCCAAACAACAGUUUGCUAGGAAAGGUGGGUUAGAGGCUUGACAUGGCAAUAUGGGAGGCAUGAUAUAGCAAGUGGUAGGUAGCGCGGCAUAGCAAUAGAGCGAACAACUAGCAAGCAAAGAUAGAAGUGAUUUCGAGGGUAUGGUCAUCUUGCCUGGGAUCCCGCAAGGAAGAAGAUCAAGUCCAUAAGGUAGACGAACCAGCGUAGUCGAACGGAUCCUCACAAUCGCAACGUUACCGGAACUACCAAGGAGAAGCGCAACCGGAAAGAAGCAAACAUCAUGGUAAACAACCAUCACAUAAACAUGGCAUGAUGCACAAUCAAGUAUGAUGCAUGUUCGGUUUAAAUGAGGCAUGGCAUGGCAAAGUGCAACAAACAAUACUACAAGUUAAGUGGAGCUCAAUAUGCAACGAGUUGCAUAUUGACGAAACACCACAUCAAAUAUUUAGUUCUCUCUUGUUUAUGUACCCAACAAUAUUAAACGUUGUUAAACAUGACAAGAGGUGAAGCAUAAUUAAACUAACUAUUUAGGCAAGUUUAAAUGAGGCCGGAAACAACAAACAACAAUUCUGGAAAAACCUCACAUGCAUAUUUUGAAUUUGCUACUGUUCUGCCCAAAAACAUAUUUUAAUGUUGUUAAACAGUAAAGCAAAGUGCAUCAAGUUAAUCUAUGCAUUUUUCUACCCCAUUUACAUAUAAAGUUUAUUAAAUUCGGAGCUACGGUUAAUUAGUUACGAAAUAAAUCAUUUUAACAUGGCAUUUAUGCAAAAUUAAACAAACAGCAAGUUAAACAUUUUUAACAUGGAUGAAAGUAGCAUAUUAUGAAACUAGAUGAAAUUCUAAGCAUUUUACAUGUUUAAAAAAUUUCAAUCCGAUGCACGUUUGUUGAGUUAUUAUAUGCAUGAACAUGAGGAUGCAAUCUGUAAACAUGCAAUUUUCGGGAUAAUUGGACAAAUUCGCAGCAGCAGAAAAAAAAUACUACGGGCCGAAACUGGCUGGUCCAACAUGCACAGGAGAGGGGCGGGUGCUGCUCACCAUGGGCCAUGGCCCAGUCGGUGGAGAGUUAGGCCGGCCCUUGGCGAGGCAAGAGGAGGCCCCGCGCGGGCAACGUGGUUCUCGUCCACGCUGGUGCUGGAACAGGUCAACGAGGGUGCAGCGCUGGUCUCCUCGAUCGUGAAGCAGGGGAUGCAGGGGUCGACGGCUACGGCCGGGCUUGGCGACGCGGAUGGCGUGGAGGCGAACUGAUCCGGGCGGAGCCUCGCCGGAAUGAAGCAGGAGCGGCGGCGUGGGACUUGAGGCGCAGGGGCGAGGCGAGCUCGAGCAGAUCCGGAGGGUGGCGCUGCUCGGAGGUCACCGGACGAAGCAGGACGACGCGGCGGCGCCAUGGAGCUUGGGCGAGCUCCUGCUCGUUCCUGGGAAGGAGAGGGGGCCACUGUGAGAUGGAGAGGGAAAAAACAGGAGGAGGAGAGGUCGCAGGGUUGGCCUGGACCUUGUGACGACGGCUGCGGCUUGUCGUUCGGCGCAGGGUGAAGCAGAGGAGGCAGGAGCCGGGUCACGGCAGGCCAAGGCGGGGCACGGCAGCAUGGCGCAGGGGCGUUAGCGGAACGGGGUCGCGCCGGGGAAGAUAGGGGGUACCGUGGCGGCAUUCUCGUCGAGGUCCUCCGAGAAGAAGAUGGCGGUGACGCUGUUACAGAGAAAAGAGAGGGAGUCCAGUGAGACAGAGAGCUUCAGCGAAGGAGGGAAAAGGGGCAGGGCGGUGAGGACGGCCUGCUGGUUCGGGCGAGGAACGGAGCAACUCCGGCGAUGGCGCUCGCCGACGCGGGGAGGUGGUCCUAGACGAGGAGGCGUGCUGGUUGGCAGCGAGUGGAGGCCGAGGGGAUUUGGAUCGGGGGCGCAGCCACUGAUUGGAUGGGGAUGGAUUUUGGAUCUGGGAGGAUCCUGAUGUAGAUGGUGGCGGUGCGAGGGUAGGAUCCCUAGAAAUUAGGUGGUUUGUCUAGGUUAGGUUAGGGGGUCUAUAUAUAGCAAGUGGAUUUUUGGAUAAGGGCAUUUGGUCCCUCCGAUCUUAAUCGGACGGUCCCGGAUAAAUAGGCUAGGGAGACCAAAUAAGAAAACGGAGAUGUUUUAUAGAUGUUUGGGGAUGAUCCGGAUCCAAUGGUCACGACUGAGCGGUUCGAGUUCGGGACAGCUUGACGCGCACGCAAGGGGGUCUAUGCACUGUGCAGAGAGAUGAGGCGGACAAAGAAGAGGGAAACAAGAACCCGGUUGGUCUCGAAAUGGUCAACGAAGGCAGGGGACACGGCAACUACAAACGGAUGCAAGCUUUAUGAUAACAUGCAAAUGCAAUGCGCAUGAUGCUAUGAGAUGAGAUGCAACAAACAAAUAAAUAACACAACUGACUCGCAAAACAAGGAAGGCAUCUGGAGCGUCGGUCUCGGGGCAUCACAACACUCCUCCACUUACAAGAGAUCUCGUCCUGAGAUCUAAGGAUGGCACCAGAGAGAAACGAAAGAGGAAGAGGUAAAACAAAGUUGCUUCUUUGAAAAACAAGUGAAACCACAAACCUUAAAGGUUGAAAAGACAUGAAAAGAACACAAGGGUAAGGAUGAAUGGAAACCACUGGUUGAAAUGAGAUGUACAAGGAAUGAUAAAGAACAAUUACGACAACACUCCAGUUGAAAAUGGAAGGGAUAGAAUACGAACUUGGCAAAAUGAAAGCACUUGGAUGAGACUCCUGUUAAAAGAGGAAUGAUAGACACAACACUCCGGUUAAAUGGAUAAGCAAUAAAAGAACAUGAUCUUGUGAAAACGAGAUGAUUGGUAAUGAGAGCAACAUCACAAUGCCUCUGGGACGAACGAAUAAAAGAUAGAUCGUCGGAAUAAGAGAACGGAGAAGGAAAUGAUAACUUCUACCACAAUUGAAUUUGGGAAGCAUCCUUCCAAGAAGGUUAGAAUGGAGUUGUUGGAAAACCAACAACGAAAAGAAUAAGCUUGUAGUGGGCUUAUGGAAAACUUCUCAAAAUUAUGAGGUGAAAUUUUUGCCACUAACGAAAACAAUUGCUUGCUUGAGAUCAACGAAGAGAUGAAAUCUUCUCCCGCCGAGAGGAUGGGAGAAAACUUGGAUCAUUGAUAGACACCACAAUUAGCAACAUUCCUUCGAGAAGGCUUUAAGUGAAAUCUAUACCAAGAUAACGUCAACAAAGAAAUUGUUGGGUUGAAAAGAUACCAUGAAUGAAGAAAAUAUGAUGGGUUUAAAUAUCUCAUUCUUGAUAACUUGUGAAUCAUGAAACAUGAAAAGAAAUUGUCAAGAAUGACAUAUCACCAUCUCAAAAUAAGGUAGAAAGAAUUGCACUUCGGAAUGCAAGAUGAAGAAUGCUUGGACUCCUCAAAACAUAACAUGUGUUAAGCACCCUGUUUAAUUUUGAGUAUAUCUUGGCGGAUCAUAACUUCGAGAGAAUUCUUGAAGAACAAUUGAAGAAUGAAAGGAAUCCCUUGAUGAGCCACCAUGCUGAUCCUCCAUGAAGAACUCCGAUAAUAAAAGAAUGAUCAAACAAAAGGGAAAGUUGGAAAGAACUCUGGGAGAAGCCUUGCAAUGAUUAGAUGAAGCUUUGAAAUGAUAUAAUUGAAAUAACUUGGAGCUCCGGAAAGAAAAAUGAACAAAUGAGAUCAAGAAUUUUGAAGAAUCUCUGGAAUAAGGAAUUAAUCACUUGGGUAAAACAAGAAUAAGAAUUAAGUUAUGCAUAUCCUUCACCAAUUUAAAUUGAUGACAAGCAACGGAUUUGGCAUACCACUUAUUCUCGUAGAAAGGAUUAAGAGAGAUAUAGCAUAAACUUAGGAAGGUCUUCAACGAUCCACCGGUAGGAUUUGGAAGAAGGAAUGAAUUGAUAUGAUAACCAAGGAAGGGAACUCUUGAACGAACCACCGUAAGAAUUGAAAAUGAACAAAGAAAAGAUAAAGAAACACCGGGAAGAAUUAUAAAAGAACGAAGAUACUUUAGAGAAUUUAGAUACAUGAGAACGAAGAGAUCAUGAACUAAUUAGAGGAUAUUUGAACGAUGCACCGGUAAGAUUUGGGGAAUGAGAUCUGAAAGCUGAGAAUGAAUAAUACUGAGAUGAUGGGCUCCGGAGAAUCAAACUGAAAAGACUCCUGAAGUGCUUCGGUUGGGUGAAAAGAAUUCUCGCAAUCGAAAAUAAUUAUGAGAGGAUGGCAUCAAGCUAGAACCAUGAAUCUUGAAGAGAAUGGAGCAAGAUUUAAGAGAAACUCUUCUUUGGUCUUCAAAUGUUGAGAAUGACGAUGAGAAACACCACCAUGAAUUGUUGAGAUGCCCCGGGAUGAAAAUUAGAAAGGGUGAACCAACGAUGAAAAGAAUUUGAACAUGAUUUUGGAGAAGGAAUAUGACUGAUGAAAAUUCAUUCUUACGUCACACCUUGAAAAUGAAUUUGGGAAUAGCUCCGGCAAAAUUAGAAGAGUCCGGUAAGAUCCUGGGAAAAGACCUGUGGGUUAGGGCCCCCUCAAAAGAAACACCAUUGAACGAAUUAAAAGAUAGAUUGCACCGGUUGAAUUAAAUGGCUUGAAUAAGGUAAGACCUCGAAAUAGCUAGAAUUGAUGUGGAGUUGAAACACGAAUCUUCAAAGAUAUCUUCAGCACUCCGGAACAAUUGAAUAGCGAGAAGUGGAUGAUUAAGAGGUGCACCGGUACGAGAAAAACAAUUGAAACGAGGAAAAUAUAUGAUCGACAAAGCUUGAAUUGAAUCCACCGGAGAAGAAAAUGAGAACGAAGACGGAUGAACUUGAAGCUCCGUUAGUAUCUUCCUGAGAAUCACCGGAUAAGAACAUUGACGGAAAAGGAUGGAGAGGCUUCCCAUCCAUAAAAGGAUACAUGAUUGAGAAAUCUGAGUCAUUGAAGAAAAGGGUGGGAGGGCGGGAAAACAAAGACAACUUGGGACAGAUGAAGCAAACACCGUUGCAAAGAACUGAGAAUUGAUCUCGCGAAUGUUGAAAUGAUCGGAUCCACUUGAAAAAGAGCACGUCGGUUGGAAAAGAAUUGGCAUGACAAUCCCGAUGAUCAAGAAGGAUUUGGUAUUCACAUAGAAGUAUGAGAACACCGCUUAGGAAAGGUAUGGAAUCAACACCUGACAAUGAAGCAACUCGAAUACCACAACUUAAAACAAAACAAAGGAUUGGCUCGCAGAAUAAGCCAGAAACAAACAUAUGAUAGAGAUUUCGCCCAAGUGUUCGUGAUGAGGCCCCACGGGCACGACGUACAGCGGACGUCACAAAUGACAAACAAGACGUGCCCGAAUUGGCAUAGCCAAGGAUUCUUUAAGACGACUCGCGACCACUGUAAAUCGACUGUGAAAAGCGAACCACUAGACGUUGGACCCCAAUCUCAAAUCAUACAUCCGUCGAAAAGAUAUCCUAGGAGCUACUUGAAUUCCCACCUAUAAAACUCCCAAAACUUUCUGGUUAUGCAAUCUGGUGUUGGGUAUCCAGGGGACGCAAUAUAUCUCACCCAAACUAGCAAUCCCUAGAUCCAGCUGUAUCCAUCCGUCAACACAUAACCAAGAAAACUUCGGAAAUCGUGUACCCCAACCUUCGAAAAGCAUCCGUUAUACGAGCUAUGGCAAUACUCCCGAACUCCCGCCCCAGUACUGGGUGGCAUCGAGGUAAUCUCACCAACAACUGCAUAAAAUAGGUUUUCGAUGUCGGCGAAAAAAACUCAGGUAUUCCAGAACCGCAACGAUAAAGAUGUGACGACAACACGUCGGAGCUCAACUCCCCGGGACACUGCCACAACCCCUAAAUGUCAGGAGGCACCAAGAACAAUGUUCUUGUCACAAAACCAUCGGAACGAUUCCAAGAUACCCGCGUGAUCCUAAAUUUUUUUUGUGAAAUUUGAGGAGAGGAAAGUCAAAACAUCUACGUCAGGAGGCCUCACCGGAGCGACGAAGGGACUGAGGAGUAAAAAGAAUCCUACUCUCUGAUAUAUAUAUAUAUAUAAUCCUAAGAAUCAAAACAUUUUUUUCUAGACUCAACAACGUCAGCGAUUCGAUCAAGCAGAGGGCUCCUAAGUCGGGGAUGGCUCUGAUUACCAACUUGUAACGCCCACGAUGCGGCUAUAUCUCCCACGUGUCGAGGCACGACUUGGAGGCAUAACCGCAUGGUGGUUUUGUCGCAAGAAGGGUCAUCUUCACGCAAUCCCAUGUAAUGAACAAGAAUGGGAUUAAGAGUUGGCUUACAAUCGCCACUUCACACAAUACAUAAAUUAAACAUACAUCAUUCAGAGUACAAUCAAGAUCCGACUACGGAACCAAAAUAAAGGAAGACAACCCCAAAUGCUAGAUCCCCGAUCGUCCCAACUGGGCUCCACUACUGAUCAACAGGAAACAAAACAUAGUAACGACCAAGGUCCUCGUCGAACUCCCACUUGAGUUCAGUAGCAUCACCUGCACUGGUAUCGUCGGCACCUGCAACUGUUUUGGUAGAAUCUGUGAGUCACGAGGACUCAGCAAUCUCACACCCGCGAGAUCAAGACUAUUUAAGCUUAUAGGAAGGAUGGGGUAAUGAGGUGGAGCUGCAGCAAGCACUAAGCAAAUAUGGUGGCUAACAUACGCAAAUAAGAGCGAGAAGAGGAGCAACGCAACGGUCGAGAAGCUAGAAGUGAUCAAGAAGUUAUCCUGAAACUACUUACGUCCAAACAUAACCCAAAAUCGUGUUCACUUCCCGGACUCCGCCGAAAAGAGACCAUCACGGCUACACACGCGGUUGAUGCAUUUUAAUUAAAUCAAGUGUCAAGUUCUCUACAACUGGACAUUAACAAAUUCCCAUCUGCCACAUAACCGCGGGCAUGACUUUUGAAAGAUAAUACCCUGCAGGGGUGUCCCAACUUAGCCCAUGAUAAGCUCUCACGAUCAACGAAGGAUAUUCCUUCUCCCGGGAAGACCCGGUCAGUCUCGAAAUCCUGGUUACAAGACAUUUCGACAAUGGUAAAACAAGUCCAGCAAAGCCGCCCGAUGUGCCGACAAUCCCAAUAGGAGUUGCACAUAUCUCGUUCUCAGGGCAACACCGGAUGAGCACUACGUACAACUAAAACCAGACCUCAAGUUUCCCCGAGGGGGCGCUGCAAGUGGCUCUAGUUCGGACCAACACUUAGAGAAGCAUUGACCCGGGGGGCUAAAUAAAGAUGACCCUCAGGUUGGCCGACCCAAGGGAAGGGUAAUAGGUUGUUAGGCAAAUGUACAACCAAGGUUGGGCCUUGCUGGAGGAGUUUUAUUCAAAGCGAACUGUCAAGGGGUUCCCAUAACACCCAACCGCGUAAAGAAUGCAAAAUCAAGGAACAUAACACCGGUAUGACGGAAAACUAGGGCGGCAAGAGUGGAACAAAACACCAGGCAUAAGGCCGAGCCUUCCACCCUUUACCAAGUAUAUAGAUGCAUUAAUUAAAAUAAGAGAUAUUGUGACAUCCCAACAUAUCCAUGUUCCAACAUGGAACAAACUUCAGCUUCAACUGCAACUAGCAACGCUAUAAGAGGGGCUGAGCAAAAGCGGUAACAUAGUCAAACAACGGUUUCCUAGGAAAGGUGGGUUAGAGGCUUGACAUGGCAAUAUGGGAGGCAUGAUAUAGCAAGUGGUAGGUAGCGCGGCAUAGCAAUAGAGCGAACAACUAGCAAGCAAAGAUAGAAGUGAUUUCGAGGGUAUGGUCAUCUUGCCUGGGAUCCCGCAAGGAAGAAGAUCAAGUCCAUAAGGUAGACGAACCAACGUAGUCGAACGGAUCCUCACAAUCGCAACGUUACCGGAACUACCAAGUAGAAGCGCAACCGGAAAGAAGCAAACAUCAUGGUAAACAACCAUCACAUAAACAUGGCAUGAUGCACAAUCAAGUAUGAUACCUGUCCGGUAUAAAUGAGGCAUGGCAUGGCAAAGUGCAACAAACAAUACUACAAGUUAAGUUGAGCUCAAUAUGCAACGAGUUGCAUAUUGACGAAACACCACAUCAAAUAUUUAGUUCUCUCUUGUUUAUGUACCCAACAAUAUUAAACGUUGUUAAACAUGACAAGAGGUGAAGCAUAAUUAAACUAACUAUUUAGGCAAGUUUAAAUGAGGCCGGAAACAACAAACAACAAUUCCGGAAAAACCUCACAUGCAUAUUUUGAAUUUGCUACUGUUCUGCCCAAAACCAUAUUUUAAUGUUGUUAAACAGUAAAGCAAAGUGCAUCAAGUUAAUCUAUGCAUUUUUCUACCCCAUUUACAUAUAAAGUUUAUUAAAUUCGGAGCUACUGUUAAUUAGUUAUGAAAUAAAUCAUUUUAACAUGGCAUUUUGCAAAAUUAAACAAACAGCAAGUUAAACAUUUUUAACAUGGAUGAAAGUAGCAUAUUAUUAAACUAGAUGAAAUUCUAAGCAUUUUACAUGUUUAAAACAUUUUAAUCCGAUGCACGGUUCUUGAGUUAUUAUAUGCAUGAACAUGAGGGUGCAAUCUGUAAACAUGCAGUUUUCGGGAUAAUUGGACAAAUUCGCAGCAGCAGAAAAAAAAUACUACGGGCCGAAACUGGCUGGUCCAACAUGCACAGGAGAGGGGCGGGUGCUGCUCACCAUGGGCCAUGGCCCAGUCGGUGGAGAGUUAGGCCGGGCCUUGGCGAGGCAAGAGGAGGCCCCGCGCGGGCAACGUGGUUCUCGUCCACACUGGCGCUGGAACAGGUCAACAUGGGUGCGGCGCUGGUCUCCUCGAUCGUGAAGCAGGGGAUGCAGGGGUCGACAGCUGCGGCCGGGCUUGGCGACGCGGACGGCGUGGAGGCGAACGGAUCCGGGCGGAGCCUCGCCGGAAUGAAGCAGGAGCGGCGGCGUGGGACUUGAGGCGCAGGGGCGAGG